This 235-nucleotide ribosomal RNA is filed under the name uncultured bacterium. RNAcentral describes it as "partial 16S ribosomal RNA". It matches the Rfam family "Bacterial small subunit ribosomal RNA", at positions 1267 to 1500 of the family's 1533-position model. The record is from RNAcentral.
GCGAAUCCCAAAAAGACCGGUCUAAGUUCGGAUUGCAGGCUGCAACCCGCCUGCAUGAAGUCGGAAUCGCUAGUAAUCGCGAGUCAGCAUAUCGCGGUGAAUACGUUCCCGGGUCUUGUACACACCGCCCGUCACACCAUGGGAGUUGGCAACACCCGAAGUCGAUGAGCUAACCGCAAGGAGGCAGUCGCCUAAGGUGGGGUUGAUAACUGGGGUGAAGUCGUAACAAGGUAGC